UACAGAGGGUGCGAGCGUUAAUCGGAUUUACUGGGCGUAAAGCGUGUGUAGGCGGUUCGUUAAGUCGGAUGUGAAAGCCCUGGGCUCAACCUGGGAAUUGCACUCGAUACCGGCGAGCUAGAGUACGGUAGAGGGCGGCGGAAUUCCGGGUGUAGCGGUGAAAUGCGUAGAUAUCCGGAGGAACACCGAUGGCGAAGGCAACCGCCUGGGCCUGUACUGACGCUGAGACACGAAAGCGUGGGGAGCAAACAGG
RNAcentral lists this ribosomal RNA (253 nucleotides) under uncultured bacterium. RNAcentral's name for it is "partial 16S ribosomal RNA". It matches the Rfam family "Bacterial small subunit ribosomal RNA", at positions 524 to 776 of the family's 1533-position model. The record is from RNAcentral.